Long non-coding RNA from Meriones unguiculatus (Mongolian gerbil), 2019 nucleotides. RefSeq lists it as uncharacterized. The transcript has 3 exons. NCBI's taxonomy places the organism in Eukaryota, Metazoa, Chordata, Mammalia, Rodentia, Muridae. The record is from RefSeq and is a predicted model, not a curated record.
GCCCCGCCCCCUCCCCUCAGGACCCGGGGACCGGCACUUCCUCUCUCCGGGCUGAGGGGGCAGCGGAGCAGAGGGGAGCCGAGUUGGGGCGCGGAGGGUGCUGGUCCCGGCCAGGAGAGCCGGGGCGCGGGGGACACCGUACUUGGCGGAGCUCUGGCGGGGAGAGGGCGGGCAGAGUGUACUCUGUGGAGCUCACGUCGUGCCAGCCCCCGGACACUGCGAGCAAGGGAAUUCCUGGGGAUGGAAUAUGCGGGAGAGUUCCCUCUGCAGGACCGGAAGGCCACCGGGAGAGAUGCCCUGUGUGCCUCAGCUUACGGGGUGGGGCUGGGGGUGAGGCUCAGAAGUCCGCUUUGGCCAGCCUUUCUUCUUGCAGGAGUCUGAUAAGUAGUGAGGUUUUGUCAUGGAAUCUAUCCUAUCCUGUACGCCAAGCACUAAUCUGACACACGUUGUUACCUCAUCGACAGUAAGAAACAGCUAUGAUUAGAAGGAAGGGAGGAGGGCCCCGUUCUUUCUUCCCUCCAGAAUUCUAAGUAAUGUACAUUUGCCACAAACAGCAACAUAGUCAUGGGACAUUUCUGUGAUCUAACAAUUCCCUGUGUGUCUAUGUUGUCUGCCUCCAGCCUCCAGCAGCUUCGGAUCCAUUUUCUGCCCCUGUGGUUUAAACCCUGCCCCAUGUGGCACGUGAAUGGAAUCAUAACAAGGUUUUCCUAACAGCCUCAUACAGCCAACCUGGACCCACCCGCCCUCUGUUAGUUCAUUCUCACCAUGUACUUUGCCUGGUUUUUCCAGAGUGUGGAACAUUGCCUGAAAAUAAGUUAUUUUCACUAUCUGCUUGAUUUCUGUCUUUCAUUUGAGCUUUCACUCAUCCUAGGAAGUAAGACAAGGAUUUUGCCUUUCUGCCACUGAGUCUCUGAGGUUCAUGAAGCAACCAAAGUGUUCAGUAAAUGUUUGUUUGAGUGAAGUGUAAUGCAAAUAAAGAGAUUGGAGAUUCCUGGGGCCCUCUCCGUACUCAGACAGGCCUCUUAAGGAGAGAUUAUUUUCCUUUCAAAAUGUGUUAAUUGGAGGAUCUGUCCAUUGCCAAAGUAGUUGGCUCUCUGAGAGUAAUACAAUGAGAAGACAUCAGGAUGAUGAAUUGUUUCUUUAAAUUCACCAGGAUGGUGAGGAUACCCGGAGCAGAGCUGGCCUGAGGGGCUUAUGGCAAUGCUGGCGGAUGUUUCUGUUGUCAGCACUGGGGUGGAGAGGACAGCUACCGGGCUCUGCUGAAGAUCACAGACUGCACAGAAGAUUCUCCAGGGCAGAGAAUUCUCAGCAGGGCCACCAGCCAGAAGCCCUGGGUGAACGCGUAGCCAGGCUUGAAGUAGGGCUGCAUUUGGACCUGCUAUUAUUAUUACUAAUUAUUAUUUCCCCCAUUCAUGUGCAUGCGUGUGUGCACACGUGCAGAUGCUGGAGUACAGCAGAAGUCCUGGACUGCACCCAGAGCUGGACUUGUAGGCAGUUGUGAGCUGCCUGAUGUGAGUACUGGGAACUGAACUCUCAUUCUCUGGAGGAGGAUGCGUGCUUCUAAUGGCAGAACAUGUUAUUUUAGAAGUGAGCCCUCCGGGCAAAUGCUCUCACCCAGGCUGAGAGGGAAGCUGUGCAUUAAGUCUGAAGUCAGACGUUAUGUUUGAAGCUCAGCAUGACCCUUAGCCAUGUGCCUCUGAGGAUGUCACUUGCCUUUUCUAUACCUCUCUGUCUAUGAAAGGGAUUAAUUAGAGAACUGCCUCGGGGAGUUGCCAGGGUCCAAUGUGGAACACCAUGCAAAGCAGACCACACUGUGGUAGAAUGCAGUAAAUGUUCAAUAAAUGUCAUUGAUUUUUGUUGUUUCUGAUGCCAAAAGGAUCUUCCCAUGGAAUAUAAUGAAGGAACUGGGAAUAGUUUCCAUGAGGGGAGAGAAAUGGAAAAUAUUGCUUGUAUAAGGUAUAUACUGACAUUAACUUCUCAUAAUAAUGGGUAACUACAUAGAAUUAAAAUUCAAAUAAA